AGUGAACGCUGGCGGUAGGCCUAACACAUGCAAGUCGAACGGCAGCACAGUAAGAGCUUGCUCUUACGGGUGGCGAGUGGCGGACGGGUGAGGAAUACAUCGGAAUCUACUUUUUCGUGGGGGAUAACGUAGGGAAACUUACGCUAAUACCGCAUACGACCUACGGGUGAAAGCAGGGGAUCUUCGGACCUUGCGCGAUUGAAUGAGCCGAUGUCGGAUUAGCUAGUUGGCGGGGUAAAGGCCCACCAAGGCGACGAUCCGUAGCUGGUCUGAGAGGAUGAUCAGACACACUGGAACUGAGACACGGUCCAGACUCCUACGGGAGGCAGCAGUGGGGAAUAUUGGACAAUGGGCGCAAGCCUGAUCCAGCCAUACCGCGUGGGUGAAGAAGGCCUUCGGGUUGUAAAGCCCUUUUGUUGGGAAAGAAAAGCAGCAGGUUAAUAACCCGCUGUUCUGACGGUACCCAAAGAAUAAGCACCGGCUAACUUCGUG
This 492-nucleotide ribosomal RNA is filed under the name uncultured bacterium. RNAcentral describes it as "partial 16S ribosomal RNA". It matches the Rfam family "Bacterial small subunit ribosomal RNA", at positions 29 to 507 of the family's 1533-position model. The record is from RNAcentral.